This 427-nucleotide ribosomal RNA is filed under the name uncultured bacterium. RNAcentral's name for it is "bacterial SSU rRNA". It matches the Rfam family "Bacterial small subunit ribosomal RNA", at positions 355 to 774 of the family's 1533-position model. The record is from RNAcentral.
UAGGGAAUAUUGGACAAUGGGGGCAACCCUGAUCCAGCCAUGCCGCGUGAGUGAAGAAGGCCCUCGGGUUGUAAAGCUCUUUUGUCCGGAAAGAAAAGCUUCGGGUUAAUACCCCGGGGUUCUGACGGUACCGGAAGAAUAAGCACCGGCUAACUACGUGCCAGCAGCCGCGGUGAUACGUAGGGUGCAAGCGUUGUCCGGAAUUAUUGGGCGUAAAGAGCUCGUAGGCGGUUUGUCGCGUCUGCUGUGAAAACCCGAGGCUCAACCUCGGGCCUGCAGUGGGUACGGGCAAACUAGAGUGCGGUAGGGGAGAUUGGAAUUCCUGGUGUAGCGGUGGAAUGCGCAGAUAUCAGGAGGAACACCGAUGGCGAAGGCAGAUCUCUGGGCCGUAACUGACGCUGAGGAGCGAAAGCAUGGGGAGCGAACA